RNAcentral lists this ribosomal RNA (497 nucleotides) under uncultured Tuber. Its description in RNAcentral is "eukaryotic LSU rRNA". The stretch from base 164 to 317 matches the Rfam family "5.8S ribosomal RNA". The record is from RNAcentral. Lineage: Eukaryota; Fungi; Ascomycota; Pezizomycetes; Pezizales; Tuberaceae.
GUGUACUCUCCCAUGUUGCUUCCCCAGACCCCUGGCCACUGCUGCCAGUCCUAUGCCUUAAUUGGUUUCAGGGUUGAGAUGUCUGGGGAAGGGCCCAAUAUCAAACAUUUGAACAAAUUAGAUGUCUGAGAAGGCCAUGUGGCCUAACAUGUAAACUUGUUAAAACUUUCAACAACGGAUCUCUUGGCUCUCGCAUCGAUGAAGAACGCAGCGAAAUGCGAUAAGUAAUGUGAAUUGCAGAAUUCAGUGAAUCAUCGAAUCUUUGAACGCACAUUGCGCCCUUUGGUAUUCCUUAGGGCAUGCCUGUUCGAGCGUCACUAAAAACCCCCUCACACAUAAUGUGGUAUUGGUAGAAGUGGAUAGUACUAACACUACUUUGUCUUACUCUGCUCAAAUGAAUAGGCCAGAGAAGUGGACCAUGGUAAUAGACUCGAGGAGUGUUUUAAAAUGCUAAAUUANUCUUAACCGAGUCAUGUUCUGAGCUACUGGACCCCCCC